UAGAAAAAAUUUAAAAGUACAUUCUGCCCUAUGAAUUCUUAAAUGGCUGCAGUAUUCUGACUGUGCAAAGGUAGCAUAAUAAUUAGUCUUUUAAUUGAAGACUUGUAUGAAUGAAUAAAUGAAAUAUUUAUUUUAUUAAUAAAAUUCUUAGAAUUUAAUUUUUAUGUAAAAAAGCUUAAUUUUUUUUCCGUGACGAUAAGACCCUAUAGAACUUCAAUUAUUUAUUUAAAAAUUUUUGAUUUAGUUUUUAAUCAACUUUUUAUAAAUAAUAAUUUUUAUUGGGGUGAUAAAUAAAUUUGACUUUAUUUUCUUUAUUCAUUAAAUUAUGAUUAUUAUGAUCCUUAUAUUUGGAUUUUAUGAUUAAGUUACCUUAGGGAUAACAGCGUUAUUUUAAUGGGGAGUUCAUAUCUAUAUUAAAGUUUGCGACCUCGAUGUUGAAUUAAGAUAAGAAUUUGGGGUAG
This 461-nucleotide ribosomal RNA is filed under the name Hortensia similis. Its description in RNAcentral is "partial large subunit ribosomal RNA". Lineage: Eukaryota; Metazoa; Arthropoda; Insecta; Hemiptera; Cicadellidae. The record is from RNAcentral.